This 24-nucleotide non-coding RNA is filed under the name Rattus norvegicus (Norway rat). Lineage: Eukaryota; Metazoa; Chordata; Mammalia; Rodentia; Muridae. The record is from RNAcentral.
CUGUGGUGACUCAAACUUGAUACC